GAUGAACGCUGGCGGCGUGCCUAAUACAUGCAAGUCGAGCGAACGGACGAGAAGCUUGCUUCUCUGAUGUUAGCGGCGGACGGGUGAGUAACACGUGGAUAACCUACCUAUAAGACUGGGAUAACUUCGGGAAACCGGAGCUAAUACCGGAUAAUAUUUUGAACCGCAUGGUUCAAAAGUGAAAGACGGUCUUGCUGUCACUUAUAGAUGGAUCCGCGCUGCAUUAGCUAGUUGGUAAGGUAACGGCUUACCAAGGCAACGAUGCAUAGCCGACCUGAGAGGGUGAUCGGCCACACUGGAACUGGAACACGGUCCAGACUCCUACGGGAGGCAGCAGUAGGGAAUCUUCCGCAAUGGGCGAAAGCCUGACGGAGCAACGCCGCGUGAGUGAUGAAGGUCUUCGGAUCGUAAAACUCUGUUAUUAGGGAAGAACAUAUGUGUAAGUAACUGUGCACAGCUUGACGGUACCUAAUCAGAAAGCCACGGCUAACUACGUG
Molecule: ribosomal RNA, 497 nt
Filed under: uncultured bacterium
Lineage: Bacteria
Description: partial 16S ribosomal RNA
Rfam family: Bacterial small subunit ribosomal RNA
Source: RNAcentral